This 253-nucleotide ribosomal RNA is filed under the name uncultured bacterium. RNAcentral describes it as "partial 16S ribosomal RNA". It matches the Rfam family "Bacterial small subunit ribosomal RNA", at positions 524 to 776 of the family's 1533-position model. The record is from RNAcentral.
UACGAAGGGGGCUAGCGUUGCUCGGAAUCACUGGGCGUAAAGGGCGCGUAGGCGGAUCUUUAAGUCGGGGGUGAAAGCCCAGGGCUCAACCCUGGAAUUGCCUUCGAUACUGAAGAUCUCGAGACCGGAAGAGGUAAGUGGAACUGCGAGUGUAGAGGUGAAAUUCGUAGAUAUUCGCAAGAACACCAGUGGCGAAGGCGGCUCACUGGCCCGGUACUGACGCUGAGGCACGAAAGCGUGGGGAGCAAACAGG